Molecule: ribosomal RNA, 606 nt
Filed under: uncultured Fibrobacterales bacterium
Lineage: Bacteria; Pseudomonadati; Fibrobacterota; Fibrobacteria; Fibrobacterales
Description: bacterial SSU rRNA
Rfam family: Bacterial small subunit ribosomal RNA
Source: RNAcentral
GGGCCCGCACAAGCGGUGGAGCAUGUGGUUUAAUUCGAUGCAACGCGAAGAACCUUACCUGGGCUUGACAUGGGAACGACCGCUCGAGAGAUCGAGCUUUCUCUUCGGAGACGUUCCGCACAGGUGCUGCAUGGCUGUCGUCAGCUCGUGUUGUGAGAUGUUCGGUUAAGUCCGGCAACGAGCGCAACCCCUGUCUUUAGUUGCUAACGAGUCAUGUCGAGCACUCUAAAGAGACUGCCCGGGUUAACCGGGAGGAAGGUGGGGAUGACGUCAAGUCCUCAUGGCCCUUACGCCCAGGGCUACACACGUGCUACAAUGGUCGGUACAGUGGGAAGCAAUACCGCAAGGUGGAGCAAAUCCUCAAAGCCGUCCUCAGUUCGGAUUGGAGGCUGCAACUCGCCUCCAUGAAGCUGGAAUCGCUAGUAAUCGUAGAUCAGAAUGCUACGGUGAAUACGUUCCCGGGCCUUGUACACACCGCCCGUCAAGCCACGAAAGAAGAGAGCGCUCCAAGUCGCCAAGCUAACCCUUACCGGAAGCCAGCGCCUAAAGCGAGAUCUUUGAUUGGGGCUAAGUCGUAACAAGGUAGCCGUAUCGGAAGGUGCGGCU